UAGCUCAGUUGGUAGAGCGCAACCUUGCCAAGGUUGAGGUCGCGAGUUCGAGUCUCGUUUCCCGCUCCA
This 69-nucleotide transfer RNA is filed under the name Xanthomonas oryzae pv. oryzae. RNAcentral describes it as "tRNA-Gly". It matches the Rfam family "tRNA". From Rfam's summary of the family: Transfer RNA (tRNA) molecules are approximately 80 nucleotides in length. The record is from RNAcentral. Lineage: Bacteria; Pseudomonadati; Pseudomonadota; Gammaproteobacteria; Lysobacterales; Lysobacteraceae.